This 253-nucleotide ribosomal RNA is filed under the name uncultured bacterium. Its description in RNAcentral is "partial 16S ribosomal RNA". It matches the Rfam family "Bacterial small subunit ribosomal RNA", at positions 524 to 776 of the family's 1533-position model. The record is from RNAcentral.
UACAGAGGGCUCAAGCGUUGUUCGGAUUCAUUGGGCUUAAAGCGCGUGUAGGCGGCUCGGCCAGUCUGCUCUGAAAGUCCAAGGCUCAACCUUGGGAUGCGGGUGGAUACUGCCGGGCUCGAGUCCGGAAGAGGCGAGUGGAAUUCCUGGUGUAGCGGUGAAAUGCGCAGAUAUCAGGAGGAACACCAAUGGCGAAGGCGGGGCGCUGGGACGUGACUGACGCUGAGACGCGAAAGCGUGGGGAGCAAACAGG